RNAcentral lists this ribosomal RNA (597 nucleotides) under Hamigera ingelheimensis. Its description in RNAcentral is "partial 28S ribosomal RNA". It matches the Rfam family "Eukaryotic large subunit ribosomal RNA", at positions 37 to 649 of the family's 3401-position model. Lineage: Eukaryota; Fungi; Ascomycota; Eurotiomycetes; Eurotiales; Aspergillaceae. The record is from RNAcentral.
AGCAUAUCAAUAAGCGGAGGAAAAGAAACCAACAGGGAUUGCCUCAGUAACGGCGAGUGAAGCGGCAAGAGCUCAAAUUUGAAAUCUGGCCCCUCCGGGGUCCGAGUUGUAAUUUGCAGAGGAUGCUUCGGAUACGGCCCCCGUCUAAGUGCCCUGGAACGGGCCGUCGGAGAGGGUGAGAAUCCCGUCUGGGACGGGGUGUCCGUGUCCGUGUGAAGCUCCUUCGACGAGUCGAGUUGUUUGGGAAUGCAGCUCUAAAUGGGUGGUAAAUUUCAUCUAAAGCUAAAUAUUGGCCGGAGACCGAUAGCGCACAAGUAGAGUGAUCGAAAGAUGAAAAGCACUUUGAAAAGAGAGUUAAACAGCACGUGAAAUUGUUGAAAGGGAAGCGCUUGCGACCAGACUCGCCUGCGGGGUUCAGCCGGGAUUCGUCCCGGUGUACUUCCCCGCAGGCGGGCCAGCGUCGGUUUGGGCGGCCGGUCAAAGGCCUCCGGAAUGUAUCGCCCCCCGGGGCGUCUUAUAGCCGGAGGUGCAAUGCGGCCUGCCCGGACCGAGGAACGCGCUUCGGCACGGACGCUGGCAUAAUGGUCGUAAGCGACC